Molecule: long non-coding RNA, 2413 nt
Organism: Triticum dicoccoides
Lineage: Eukaryota; Viridiplantae; Streptophyta; Magnoliopsida; Poales; Poaceae
Exons: 8
Source: RefSeq, a predicted model, not a curated record
UAUCAAAAUACAAGAGAAUGCUGCAACGACCAAGGUGCCAUAUAUAUAUCGAAGGAGGAUUCAGAAUAUGAAGUUACUGGAAACACUGUUGGAAGUGUUGGUCCUGAGAGCACAGAAAAGGAUUCAUCAUUUCUUAUAAAAACAUUAGAAUCAUUCAAAGAAGCUUUGAUUAAGGAGGAUGACACAAAUGUUGCUGAGAUUGAGGCCUUCUUACUUUGCAUUGAUGUCGAUGAUGAGAAGAACUCUCUUAUGAGGAAAAUCAUUGCUUUGAAUUAUUGAUAACCGUGAGAGAUCGUGUCUUGAGAGCAGGUGCAGAAUCUGAAUUCUACAGAUUGAGAGCAGGUGCAGAUUCUGAAUUCUGCACACAGAAGACAGAACAGAGAGCUGGUGGCAAAUGUGCAAGGGGAAGUUAUGGAGAGCUUUCUUUGCUAGCUGAAUAAGUCUAUCAGGAGUCAAGGCCUGUUUUGUUGGAGGCUUGAUGGAACUUGCCUGGCCUGAUAAGUAACUGUGCGCGCGGUCGUCCUGGGUGCUUGGCUUGAGCUAGCAUGCCGUGUUGUUAUCUUGGUUGAGGCAGCUGGAGUUAGCAAGGUGAUUAGUCAAGGGUGGUUGUCGAUGCCAUCUAAAAAAUAGGUCUUAAAACUUCAUAUUUUCUCAGGAAAAAUUCGUAUGAAUUAAUGAAUAUCAGGCUACAUUCAGGCGAUAUUGUUUGUCAGGCACAGCGCUCAGGGUAGCAACCACACAUUUAAGUGAGCUUUUGUUGAAAUGCGUUGGUACUUUAGUUUUUAGAUUCUGUGAUGAUGGUAUGCAUAAAUACAUGAGCUCUUUCAACCAGUACCACAUAGUAUUAAUGAGGUAACAGAAGCUUGCAAUUCCAUUAUCCUGCAUCUGCCCAAGUCUAGAAGGUCAGAUAAGUUGUUCCGCAAGAUAGACAACAAUUUUUUAUGAGUCAUCACAGUGGGCCGAGAACUUGUUGAUGAAGCCAAUGAUUGGGUUGAUCAUAGUGAUACGGCAUCAGACGUAAUGCUAGAUUUAACCCCAGACAAAUGGGCAAACAUGAAAAGAGGAAAGAUGUCAAUGCAUGAGCCAGAGGGUUCCAGUGGUGAAUAUUUUGGACCAGAAGUUAUGGAUGUUUCACGCGAAGAAGCCAUUCUUUCCAAUGUUUACAUAUAAGAUAUACCAGUACAUCCCAAUUGGUAGGGCCCCUCCACUGAUAAGCUGGAUAUCCUUUUAACAAGUGGCUCAGAGAGAAUAAAGCGUUAGAUUUUAUCAUACUUUUACAGUUUAACAUGUCAAAGAAGGGAGAGGAGACACCAGCGGAUGGCAAGAUGGAUGAACUGUUGGAUUGUGUUAGCCUUAAUUACCUAAUUCCUAAUGAAGUGGAAAACUUUAUGACCAGCAUAGAAAAUGUGCAACACUCUUCUUCUGAGUAUGAAGGGCAGAAUGAUGAUUUCGAAGCAAAUAUCAUUGAGCAAGAUGAUGAACACAUUGGAAAGAUUUUACUAAUCUUACUGUUGCAUGCAAAGACAUUGGUGAUGUCAUAUCAGAAGACCCACAGAAGGUUUAGGUUUCCGAGGGCAAGCAGAAAUAAGUGAUAGCUAUGCCGAUAUUCUAAAUAAUGGCAACACAUAUUAUGUAAACACAGUUCUGCAGUAUUUUCAUUGUUUAUCGGAGCUCAAAGAAAUCUUAAUAAUUUGUGAAGACGUAUGAGUGCUCGGGGCUGAUGUUCUAUGGUUGAUUUCGGAAUGUGUAAGAGCAGGGCGAAUGGUUCCUCAAGUGGGAUCGUACUCUGAGGGGAAUGGUUCCUCAAAUAUUCAGUGAGCAAAAAGGGCAGUGGAAGGCAGCAACCCAACCCCAGGAGUUCCUUUGAAACCUUCAGCGUUAAUACAAUUAUGCUUACACAGAUCAUGAGAAGUAGGAUGCUAUAAAUGUAAUAUUGGGCCAUUUCCAGCCUCAACAAAGCAAACCUCCUUUUGUGGACGUUGGACUGAGAUCAGCAUUACAAUAUUGGCCGCCAAGGAACUCUAAUUGAAGAAACUGGAAGGUCUGGCUGUUGUGAUGGCCGAAGGAAGAGCAAGGAGGGGGGGAGGGAUGGCAGAGGAGGUUCACAUAUAUAGGUCGACAUCGACCGAGUACGAGCGGCCGUAGGUCACAAGGGGGCGUGGAACUGAUGCAGGCCAUCUGUGACAGAGCAGACUACAGCGACUUUGCACAGCUAGGCGCCGUGACCCGGCCUCAGUCGCAGGGCCAGGGCGAAGCCGUAUCCCCGACGCCCAAGACACGGCCACGGUGGUGUAGCCUGUGGUGAGACAUACCAGACUCUAACGACUUUGCCGAGCCAGUGCAAAUGUGUUUGUUGAUCAACUAAACUUGGUGAAUGUACAAUCAGGGGGAGCCUUGAAGCCUUCUCAUGUAA